Molecule: long non-coding RNA, 2862 nt
Organism: Tympanuchus pallidicinctus (lesser prairie-chicken)
Lineage: Eukaryota; Metazoa; Chordata; Aves; Galliformes; Phasianidae
Exons: 2
Source: RefSeq, a predicted model, not a curated record
UGAUUAAGCAGGUGAGCUGGAAGAUGCUUUCCCCAUCAUUUCUUGCAGGCCGUCUCAUUGUCAUCUUCUGUCUGACACACCUGAUUGUUUUUGCUGGGCUGCAGUUGUGCAGAAAUGGCCAUGGCAACAAUUCUUCCACUCUCCUUAAACCUUCCAGAUGCCAUUGAUGGACUUUUCACUGCUGGGCAGAAGGCAUUUGAAUGAUUGUUGUGAAGUACCUUCUGCAGAGACUGCCUGCAGGUUUGGAAGGCAGCUGGAUAGCAUCAUGCAUUAGUAAUCUAAUGACCUUUUCCCCUCAGGGCCAUUUCCUCACAUCUCAAACAUCUUGGCAACACUCAGAAAGUAUCUGACGGUUCAAUACUGUUGUGUAAUAGAAGUUUUUCUCGUUACAUUUCACACGUUGACUGAUUUUAUCUCAAGAGUAAUCACAACAGCUAGAAAUGAUGGGAAGCCUCAGAAGAGAGUUGGAUUAAUACCUGAAGGCAGUUUCUUCUGGAAGUGAGCUUUCCUUUGAGGCGUGGAGCAGCGCUGCUGCUGUGGCUGCUGCACUGGGGCUGCAGGAAAGUCCCCCUGUGCAGACAAGGCUUGUUCUGGGAACGUGGAAAGAACACAGAGCUUUCUCUGUGCCAUCCUUCUUAUCCUCAAGGAUGGUGGGAAAUCCUUUAUCAUGUAUAGUAAUUGUCUUGAUAGCCAAUAAAGAGAGUAAUGACAAACGCUUCCUUGCCAGACAGCGAGUAUUACAGGCAGACAGCUGGGUUACUUUCCACCUUUGCAUGAGCCCAAGAAGCACGGCGUACAUUUGGAGAUACCCGAGCACGCAGGGCUGGCACUUGCUUUUCAGAAGUGCCCUCCUGACAGGCACUUGAACGCUCAGACACCAUGUGAAAUGUACACAGGGCAUCAGUGGGACGAGCUGCACAACUCACACCUCCAACACAUCUCUUUUCACUUGCAGUAUUUGUAACUGGCAGUGGUUUCCUAUUGUGCACUUUUGCUUUAGGAAUGACUUUUAAAAUACCAAGUGUUUGUUCCAUAGAGACCUUUUCCUCUGCUUCUGCUUGCCCUCUGAGUACACGAAGGAGGCUGAUGUCAGUAGCAGCUUCUAUGGCCCUGCAUGCACAGCAGCACGAGCUAUUCUACUUUUACUCUUUCAGACAGUAUGACUUUCAGAGCUCUUCAUUUUAUCUUAUAUAGCUAACUUAAUGAAUUCAUUAGGGGCAUUGUAGUGGCAAUGCUCAGUCACAGCCUGAAACAGUGAUGGAGCACCUGGUGGGAAGGCAGGACCAACCCAGGGGAGCUCAGGUGCAAGCAAUGCUGAGCGAUGAAGGGGUGGAGGCAGGAUGCACCCCUUCCCAACCCUCAUUUAAGGGUUGGCAGUGGAGGUGAGGGCAUCUCUUGCUGGAGGUUUCUGCUUAUUUGAGGCCUUCCAAAGGACGUGGCAACAAGAGAGUUAAAUCCACGCCUUCCAGAACAUGCUUUGCAGUUAAGAAAUCUGCAGACACUUGCUCUGAAGCUCUGAUGCUCUCCCCAUGCCAUGGUGCCCACCGCGUUCUCCAGGCGCCGCUCUGGGCUCGGCCGUUCUCAGCCGCUGCCUCCUUUAUUACCGCGCUGCAGACGCCCCACGGCCUCGUGUGAUGCUUCCCACCUGCUGCACGCAAUGGUUCAGCACUGAAGCACACAGCAACACCGACGAGAUCCUUCCCAGACUCAUAACUCCCGGCAGGACGGGUUUCCUCUUACGGCUGCAGGAUUGUUUCCGUGCUGUAAGCGGCGCAGCUGAAGGAGAGGCGAUGAAUGGCGGUGCUGUGAAAUCCACUCUCCUUGUCUGUUAGCUUGCUGUCUCCGUUUCCUUGCUGCAGGUAAACUGAGAUCUUCAGAGCUUACCACAGAGGUAUUUAGAGACCCCAAAUGGGGACACGUUAAAUCAGCCGCACCUGUGCUUCCUUUGGCUUAUUUGAUUGUUUCCUGCAGCUUGGGGAGCAUCUUCCCACCACACAGAACCCUCAGCAGUGGUCUGGAUGAGCUUAAGCUUUCUUUACAGCCUUCUCUACAUAUAUGGGGCAGUGAUUUCCACCUAUCCAGCCGUGAGCUCCCUGCAGCAAACAGAAGCGUUGUGGGAGGAUGCAUUUGUUCACGGCUUGUUUUGGGUCACUUGUCUGUCUUGUCUCUACCAGUGUGCCGUCCUGGAAUUACCUGCACUACGUGACUGCAGAAAUGCCUACUGUAGCACUGGUCCUGCUACUCCAAGUAUUUUCUGAGAGUUUUUGGCUGUGCCAUUGUGCCUUGAAUACAGCCCUGGCCCAGAACAAGGGUUUUAGGCACAGUGCCAUCACAAAAUGAGCAUCUUCUGAGAUGCAGUGGCUGCACAGUACAAAGCCGUGCACCGGAGCUGCAGCCAAGUCAUCGUUUGCCCUGCUCUGGUCCUCUAAAGUCCAAUACCACCAGUUUCAGAGGGCCACAGCAGGGAUCACCUCCCUCUAUAAAUCCAAUGGAAGAUGACACCUGUGAACUCAGCUGAGCUGAGUGCCUGGUGAGUGGCAGAAGAAGACACCCACAGUCAUUGACUUCCUGCCAGCGGUGUCCUUCAGUGGGGAAAAGCUGAUGGUUCACACACUGUGCUGAAGGGACACCUGUUGGUUUUCUUCCCUGCUGUCUAUCGGGGUGCAUCGGGAUUUCCUCCAAGUGCAGCAACAGCAGCUCACAGAGAGCCAAUGGAAAGGUGGUGGUUGGGAUCUGCUUCUUCAACAAGGAGUGCUGUGGUUUGUUGUUUGUUUGUUUUCUUUGUUAACAUCCUCAAAAGGGCAACCAAGAGCUAGGAGUUGUAUUUUGUUCUGCUGAAGUAAAUGCAUUUAUGCUCCCUGA